This 72-nucleotide transfer RNA is filed under the name Streptomyces sp. PVA_94-07. The record is from RNAcentral. Lineage: Bacteria; Bacillati; Actinomycetota; Actinomycetes; Kitasatosporales; Streptomycetaceae.
UCGGCCCCGCCGAUCUCCUCCUCAACUCCCGCACCGGCCAGGUCGACGUGGACGCCCGCACCGGCCUCGUCA